CAUGUCUUUUUAAUAACUUUUCUUUUUCGGUUUCUCUUCCUUUGGAAAACUGUUCUUAUUCUUAUAUUUUUCUAACAAAACAAUAUUUAUCAUUCAGCAUGAGAAACUGGUUUUUAAAAAAUGUAACAUUUUUUGAAAAAUGUUUUUGAAGAUUCUAACGAAACAAUCUUCCAUCCGUUUCCAAAAAUGUAAAAGUUUCACAUUUUUCCGUAGCGCGCCACAUGAAGAUCAUUCAUUCUUUCUCUUUCUAGCUGCAAAAUUUCCACGAAAUAGUCUGUGAACAGAUUUUUAUUCCCCAAGAGAUUUCUGCAGCGUUUUCUUUCUAAGUUGAUUAAGGUUGGCUUAUCCGAUUGCCAUUUUUUUUUUUGGUUUUAUAUAUUACAAUCCUCAAGAUUGUUGAGGAUUGACACACUUUUUUUUUGUGUGAAGACAUGGUUGAAAGUGAGUUUGUGCACCCCCUAAAAACCGGGGUGCACGUUCCUGCUCUCCUCAUUGGUGCAUUUUUCGGUUGGAACCAGAUUUGUUGAUGAGGGUUGGCUUAUUUGAUGAAUACAAUUAAAAUCAGGCCUAUGAUGGAAGAGUAAAUUUUUGAUUACUGAAGGCUAACUAAUUUGACUUUUUCAAGAUAUGGUUCAAAAAAAUAUCUUUAUUUUUCUAUGGUUGUAACGUUUAAUUUUUCACUUUAUUAUUUUAGUGGCACAAUUAUUUUUUUUAAUUGA
Molecule: long non-coding RNA, 719 nt
Organism: Papaver somniferum (opium poppy)
Lineage: Eukaryota; Viridiplantae; Streptophyta; Magnoliopsida; Ranunculales; Papaveraceae
Exons: 5
Source: RefSeq, a predicted model, not a curated record